GCAUAACGCGAAGAACCUUACCCACCUUUGACAUGUACGGAAUCCUUUAGAGAUAGAGGAGUGCUCGAAAGAGAGCCGUAACACAGGUGCUGCAUGGCUGUCGUCAGCUCGUGUCGUGAGAUGUUGGGUUAAGUCCCGCAACGAGCGCAACCCUUGCCAUUAGUUGCUACGAAAGGGCACUCUAAUGGGACUGCCGGUGACAAACCGGAGGAAGGUGGGGAUGACGUCAAGUCCUCAUGGCCCUUAUAGGUGGGGCUACACACGUCAUACAAUGGCUGGUACAAAGGGUUGCCAACCCGCGAGGGGGAGCUAAUCCCAUAAAGCCAGUCGUAGUCCGGAUCGCAGUCUGCAACUCGACUGCGUGAAGUCGGAAUCGCUAGUAAUCGUGGAUCAGAAUGUCACGGUGAAUACGUUCCCGGGUC
This 422-nucleotide ribosomal RNA is filed under the name uncultured bacterium. RNAcentral's name for it is "bacterial SSU rRNA". It matches the Rfam family "Bacterial small subunit ribosomal RNA", at positions 954 to 1380 of the family's 1533-position model. The record is from RNAcentral.